AUACGGCCAUAUCCCGUUGAAACACCGGUUCUUGCCUUACACUGAAGUUAAGCAACGCUGAGCCCGGUCAGUACCUAGAUCGGUGAACGCGUGGGAAUACCAGAUGCUGUAAG
This is a non-coding RNA of Acanthosepion pharaonis, 113 nucleotides long. The record is from the annotation of a GenBank genome assembly. Lineage: Eukaryota; Metazoa; Mollusca; Cephalopoda; Sepiida; Sepiidae.